RNAcentral lists this ribosomal RNA (560 nucleotides) under uncultured bacterium. Its description in RNAcentral is "bacterial SSU rRNA". It matches the Rfam family "Bacterial small subunit ribosomal RNA", at positions 338 to 916 of the family's 1533-position model. The record is from RNAcentral.
CCUACGGGAGGCAGCAGUGGGGAAUCUUGCGCAAUGGGCGAAAGCCUGACGCAGCCAUGCCGCGUGAAUGAUGAAGGUCUUAGGAUUGUAAAAUUCUUUCACCGGGGACGAUAAUGACGGUACCCGGAGAAGAAGCCCCGGCUAACUUCGUGCCAGCAGCCGCGGUAAUACGAAGGGGGCUAGCGUUGCUCGGAAUUACUGGGCGUAAAGGGAGCGUAGGCGGAUAGUUUAGUCAGAGGUGAAAGCCCAGGGCUCAACCUUGGAAUUGCCUUUGAUACUGGCUAUCUUGAGUAUGGGAGAGGUAUGCGGAACUCCGAGUGUAGAGGUGAAAUUCGUAGAUAUUCGGAAGAACACCAGUGGCGAAGGCGGCAUACUGGCCCAUUACUGACGCUGAGGCUCGAAAGCGUGGGGAGCAAACAGGAUUAGAUACCCUGGUAGUCCACGCUGUAAACGAUGAGUGCUAGUUGUCGGCAUGCAUGCAUGUCGGUGACGCAGCUAACGCAUUAAGCACUCCGCCUGGGGAGUACGGUCGCAAGNUUAAAACUCAAAGGAAUUGACGG